RNAcentral lists this unclassified non-coding RNA (750 nucleotides) under Hevea brasiliensis (rubber tree). The record is from RNAcentral. Lineage: Eukaryota; Viridiplantae; Streptophyta; Magnoliopsida; Malpighiales; Euphorbiaceae.
UCCCAUCUAUAAGCCAAAACCAAAACCACCAAUUGUGAAGCCUCCUCCAAUUCUACCACCUCCUGUUCCAAUCUACAAACCAAAACCACCAGUUGUGAAGCCUCCUCCAAUCCUACCACCUCCUGUUCCAAUCUAUAAACCAAAACCACCAAUCUUUUAUAAGCCUCACCCUCUAAUCCCAAAGAUCCCUCCAUUUAAGAGGAAGCCAUACCCUCCUCUUCCUAAACUUCCUCCUUUUCCAAAGAUUCCUCCAAAGCCCUACCAUCACCCCAUAUUUGGAAAAUGGCCUCCAUUGCCACCAUUUUCUCCUAUUCAUUAGGCUCUCUAUAUAUUAAUGAUGUAGUACACCUACAAGGUUGAUAUUUAUGACCCUCUAGUGUGAAGUUAUCAGUACCAAAAAUAAAACCUUGAAGGUAGUCGAAUAAUUUCAUGCACAUUUAUUGCCUCAAGAAUGUGUUUUAAUUAAUGGUUUUCUUUACAUUUGUAAAUGUUGCAUCUUUAAUUUGUAUGCCUAUCACUAUUUUUAAUUAAUAAAUUUUAUUAAAAAGUACACUUAUAAAUUUUUUUCAAAAUAACUUUUUCAAAAAUAAACUUAUGGCCUCUAUAACUAUCAUUUUUUACAUUUAUUAUACAAAAUUAAUUAUUUUUAUAAUAAAAAGUUAUUAAAUAAAAAUGAUUAUGUAUCAAUGUGUAAUUUGUUAAUAUAUUAUUAAUUAGUCUAUUACCUCCUUCAAAUUGAAAAAAAAAAAA